CUCAGAUUGAACGCUGGCGGCAUGCUUUACACAUGCAAGUCGAACGGCAGCACGAAAGAGCUUGCUCUUUUGGUGGCGAGUGGCGAACGGGUGAGUAAUACAUUGGAACGUACCGAGUAAUGGGGGAUAACUGUCCGAAAGGAUGGCUAAUACCGCAUACGCUCUGAGGAGGAAAGCGGGGGACCUUCGGGCCUCGCGUUAUUCGAGCGGCCAAUGUCUGAUUAGCUAGUUGGUGGGGUAAAGGCCUACCAAGGCGACGAUCAGUAGUGGGUCUGAGAGGAUGAUCCGCCACACUGGGACUGAGACACGGCCCAGACUCCUACGGGAGGCAGCAGUGGGGAAUUUUGGAC
This 350-nucleotide ribosomal RNA is filed under the name Neisseria arctica. RNAcentral's name for it is "bacterial SSU rRNA". It matches the Rfam family "Bacterial small subunit ribosomal RNA", at positions 23 to 369 of the family's 1533-position model. Lineage: Bacteria; Pseudomonadati; Pseudomonadota; Betaproteobacteria; Neisseriales; Neisseriaceae. The record is from RNAcentral.